UACGUAGGGGGCAAGCGUUGUCCGGAUUUAUUGGGCGUAAAGAGCGUGUAGGCGGCCAGGUAGGUCCGUUGUGAAAACUCGAGGCUCAACCUCGAGACGCCGAUGGAAACCGUCUGGCUAGAGUCCGGAAGAGGAGAGUGGAAUUCCUGGUGUAGCGGUGAAAUGCGCAGAUAUCAGGAAGAACACCCGUGGCUAAGGCGGCUCUCUAGUACGGUACUGACGCUGAGACGCGAAAGCGUGGGGAGCGAACAGG
RNAcentral lists this ribosomal RNA (253 nucleotides) under uncultured bacterium. Its description in RNAcentral is "partial 16S ribosomal RNA". It matches the Rfam family "Bacterial small subunit ribosomal RNA", at positions 524 to 776 of the family's 1533-position model. The record is from RNAcentral.